This 526-nucleotide ribosomal RNA is filed under the name uncultured bacterium. Its description in RNAcentral is "bacterial SSU rRNA". It matches the Rfam family "Bacterial small subunit ribosomal RNA", at positions 99 to 621 of the family's 1533-position model. The record is from RNAcentral.
CGGACGGGUGAGUAAUGCCUGGGAAAUUGCCCUGAUGUGGGGGAUAACCAUUGGAAACGAUGGCUAAUACCGCAUGAUAGCUUCGGCUCAAAGAGGGGGACCUUCGGGCCUCUCGCGUCAGGAUAUGCCCAGGUGGGAUUAGCUAGUUGGUGAGGUAAGGGCUCACCAAGGCGACGAUCCCUAGCUGGUCUGAGAGGAUGAUCAGCCACACUGGAACUGAGACACGGUCCAGACUCCUACGGGAGGCAGCAGUGGGGAAUAUUGCACAAUGGGCGCAAGCCUGAUGCAGCCAUGCCGCGUGUAUGAAGAAGGCCUUCGGGUUGUAAAGUACUUUCAGCAGUGAGGAAGGAGGUAUCGUUAAUAGCGGUAUCUUUUGACGUUAGCUACAGAAGAAGCACCGGCUAACUCCGUGCCAGCAGCCGCGGUAAUACGGAGGGUGCGAGCGUUAAUCGGAAUUACUGGGCGUAAAGCGCAUGCAGGUGGUUUGUUAAGUCAGAUGUGAAAGCCCCGGGCUCAACCUGGGAAU